AUUGAACGCUGGCGGCAGGCCUAACACAUGCAAGUCGAGCGAGACGCGGACGGGUGUGUAGUGUCUGGGAAACUCCCUGGUGGAGGGAGAUAUAUACGAAAAAGGAUAGAUAAUACCGCAUAACAUGAUAUGUGCACAGGUGGGAUGAGCUAGGAGGUGGGUUAGGGGCUCACCUAGGCGACGAUCCCUAGCUGGUCUGAGAGGAUGACCAGCCACACUGGAACUGAGACACGGUCCAGACUCCUACGGGAGGCAGCAGUGGGGAAUAUUGCACAAUGGGCGCAAGCCUGAUGCAGCCAUGCCGCGUGUGUGAAGAAGGCCUUCGGGUUGUAAAGCACUUUCAGCGAGGAGGCGUCACUCGCAGAAGAAGCACCGGCUAACUCCGUGCCAGCAGCCGCGGUAAUUC
RNAcentral lists this ribosomal RNA (406 nucleotides) under uncultured bacterium. RNAcentral describes it as "partial 16S ribosomal RNA". It matches the Rfam family "Bacterial small subunit ribosomal RNA", at positions 30 to 526 of the family's 1533-position model. The record is from RNAcentral.